GCUUCCCUCACCAGGCAUCCUCGUGGAAGUGACAUCGUCUUUAAACCCCGCGUGGCAAUCCCUGACUCACCGCCGUGAUGCCCAGGGAAGAAAGGGCGACCUGGAAGUCCAACUACUUCCUUAAGAUCAUCCAACUAUUGGAUGAUUAUCCGAAAUGUUUCAUCGUGGGAGCAGACAAUGUGGGCUCCAAGCAGAUGCAGCAGAUUCGCAUGUCCCUUUGUGGGAAGGCCGUGGUGCUGAUGGGCAAGAACACCAUGAUGCGCAAGGCCAUCAGAGGGCACCUGGAAAACAACCCAGCUCUGGAGAAACUGCUGCCUCAUAUCCGGGGGAAUGUGGGCUUCGUGUUCACCAAGGAGGACCUCAGUGAGAUCAGGGACAUGUUGCUGGCCAAUAAGGUGCCAGCUGCUGCCCAUGCUGGUGCCAUCGCCCCAUGUGAAGUCACUGUGCCAGCCCAGAACACUGGCCUCGGGCCCGAGAAGACCUCCUUUUCCCAAGCUUUAGGUAUCACCACUAAAAUCUCCAGGGGAACCAUUGAAAUCCUGAGUGAUGUGCAGCUGAUCAAGACUGGAGACAAAGUGGGAGCCAGCGAAGCCACGCUGCUGAACAUGCUCAACAUCUCCCCCUUUUCCUUUGGGCUGGCCAUCCAGCAGGUGUUCGACAAUGGCAGCACCUACAACCCUGAAGUGCAUGACAUCACAGAGGAAAGUCUGCAUUCUCGCUUCCUGGAGGGUGUCCGCAAUGUUGCCAGUGUCUGUCUGCAGAUUGGCUACCCAACUGUUGCAUCAGUACCCCAUUCUAUCAUCAGCGGGUACAAAUGAGUCCUGGCCUUGUAUGCAGAGACAGAUUACACCUUCCCACUUGCUGAAAAGGUCAAGGCCUUCUUGGCUGAUCCAUCUGCCUUUGUGGCUGCUGCCCCUGUGGCCGCUGCCACUAUGGCUGCUCCUGCUGCUGCUGCUGCUGCAGUCCCAGCUAAGGUUGAAGCCAAGGAAGAGUCGGAGGAGUUGGACGAGGAUAUGGGAUUUGGUCUCUUUGAUUAAUUACCAAAAAGCAACCAACUUAGCCAGCUUUAUAUGCAAAACAAGGAAAUAAAGUCUUGCUUGU
Cercocebus atys (sooty mangabey) is the source of this 1101-nucleotide RNA transcript. It is a transcript of the gene named 60S acidic ribosomal protein P0 pseudogene, with no coding region annotated. The transcript has a single exon. Lineage: Eukaryota; Metazoa; Chordata; Mammalia; Primates; Cercopithecidae. The record is from RefSeq and is a predicted model, not a curated record.